GGGGAAUUUUCCGCAAUGGGCGAAAGCCUGACGGAGCAAUACCGCGUGCGGGAGGACGCCCUUUGGGGUGUAAACCGCUUUUGUGAGGGAAGAAGUUCUGACGGUACCUCACGAAUCAGCCUCGGCUAACUCCGUGCCAGCAGCCGCGGUAAGACGGAGGAGGCAAGCGUUAUCCGGAAUUAUUGGGCGUAAAGCGUCCGCAGGUGGCGGUUCAAGUCUGCUGUCAAAGUCCAGGGCUCAACUCUGGGAAGGCAGUGGAAACUGGAUUGCUAGAGUGCGGUAGGGGCAGAGGGAAUUCCCGGUGUAGCGGUGAAAUGCGUAGAGAUCGGGAAGAACACCAGUGGCGAAAGCGCUCUGCUGGGCCGCAACUGACACUCAUGGACGAAAGCUAGGGGAGCGAAAGGGAUUAGAUACCCCUGU
This 420-nucleotide ribosomal RNA is filed under the name uncultured Acaryochloris sp. RNAcentral's name for it is "bacterial SSU rRNA". It matches the Rfam family "Bacterial small subunit ribosomal RNA", at positions 356 to 791 of the family's 1533-position model. RNAcentral also lists the same sequence under 1 other name. Lineage: Bacteria; Bacillati; Cyanobacteriota; Cyanophyceae; Acaryochloridales; Acaryochloridaceae. The record is from RNAcentral.